CGUAGGGUGCGAGCGUUAAUCGGAAUUACUGGGCGUAAAGCGUGCGCAGGCGGUUUUGUAAGACAGGCGUGAAAUCCCCGGGCUCAACCUGGGAACUGCGCUUGUGACUGCAAGGCUAGAGUACGGCAGAGGGGGGUGGAAUUCCACGUGUAGCAGUGAAAUGCGUAGAGAUGUGGAGGAACACCAAUGGCGAAGGCAGCCCCCUGGGUCGAUACUGACGCUCAUGCACGAAAGCGUGGGUAGCAAACAGGAUUAGAUACCCUGGUAGUCCACGCCCUAAACGAUGUCAACUAGGUGUUGGGUGGGUAAAACCAUUUAGUACCGGAGCUAACGCGUGAAGUUGACCGCCUGGGGAGUACGGCCGCAAGGGUUA
RNAcentral lists this ribosomal RNA (373 nucleotides) under uncultured organism. RNAcentral's name for it is "bacterial SSU rRNA". It matches the Rfam family "Bacterial small subunit ribosomal RNA", at positions 526 to 897 of the family's 1533-position model. The record is from RNAcentral.